RNAcentral lists this ribosomal RNA (245 nucleotides) under Virgularia juncea. Its description in RNAcentral is "partial large subunit ribosomal RNA". It matches the Rfam family "Eukaryotic large subunit ribosomal RNA", at positions 3144 to 3401 of the family's 3401-position model. Lineage: Eukaryota; Metazoa; Cnidaria; Anthozoa; Scleralcyonacea; Virgulariidae. The record is from RNAcentral.
CUGCUAGAAAGCAACGAUUCAUUCACUCUGAAUAAUCUUAGGCAAACUAGAAGAGAAGCCUCGGCUUCCUGCGUCACAAUGUGCUAACGAGCAGACUACGCUCUGAAACACUACCUGACCAAAAUCUAAAUUUUUCAGAGCUAAAUCCUUUGCAGACGACUUAAAUAAAGAACGGGGUAUUGUAUGCGGCUGAGUAGCCUUGUUGCUACGUUCCGCUGAGAUUAAGCCCUUGUUCUAAGAUUUGU